RNAcentral lists this transfer RNA (73 nucleotides) under Canis lupus familiaris (dog). It matches the Rfam family "tRNA". Rfam says of the family: Transfer RNA (tRNA) molecules are approximately 80 nucleotides in length. Their secondary structure includes four short double-helical elements and three loops (D, anti-codon, and T loops). RNAcentral also lists the same sequence under 1 other name. The record is from Rfam by way of RNAcentral. Lineage: Eukaryota; Metazoa; Chordata; Mammalia; Carnivora; Canidae.
GGCUGGCUGGCUCAGUUGGUGGAGCGUGAGGCUCUUGAUCUCAGGGUUGUGGGUUUGAGCCCUUUGUUGGGUA